This 440-nucleotide ribosomal RNA is filed under the name uncultured bacterium. RNAcentral describes it as "partial 16S ribosomal RNA". It matches the Rfam family "Bacterial small subunit ribosomal RNA", at positions 338 to 795 of the family's 1533-position model. The record is from RNAcentral.
CCUACGGGAGGCAGCAGUGGGGAAUAUUGCACAAUGGGGGAAACCCUGAUGCAGCGACGCCGCGUGAAGGAAGAAGGAUUUCGGUAUGUAAACUUCUAUCAGCAGGGAAGAAAAUGACGUUACCUGACUAAGACUCCCCUGCUAACUACGUGCCAGAAGCCGCGGUAAUACGGAGGGGGCAAGCGUUAACCGGAUUUGCUGGGUGUAACGGGAGCGUAGACGGCAUGGCAAGUCUGGGGUGAAAGACAGGGGCUCAACCCCUGGACUGCAUUUGAAACUGUCAGGCUGGAGUGCAGGAGAGGUAAGUGGAAUUCCUAGUGUAGCGGUGAAAUGCGUAGAUAUUAGGAGGAACACCAGUGGCGAAGGCGACUUACUGGACUGUAACUGACGCUGAGGCUCGAAAGCGUGGGGAGCAAACAGGAUUAGAUACCCCAGUAGUC